UAGGCCAGUGGUAUAUAAAUCAGCAGUAAGCAUCCAGUAUCUCUCCAUUGCGGUAGUGCUUGUUACAGUUGCUUGCGAUUAGGUAGAAGUUAAUUAUUAUAUCCAGUACAAUUAUUAGAGAUGCUACGUGGCUUCAAUUAUUUUCCAUAGUUAGAGAACAAAUUCAAAUAAAUAACAAUACGAUCAGCAAGAUAUUAGAAUUUCCAUAAAACGACGUCGUAUCGUCGUUAAUCCCACAAUUCAGAAAGUGUAAAAGAAAACAUUGACGCCGUGACGCAACGACUUUCAUUAUAUGAUUUUUUGAACAUUCGCUUGGACCUACAAUAGAUCCUAUAUCAUCACGGAUAUCAAAGAGAUCAAAGGAAACUGAAUAGUAAUCAUCAGAAGAAGAUUGUUAAAAGAUUAUGACCAAAGUUUUCAUGUAAUAGAGUUAAAAUGAAGUUAAUCAUUCUACUGUUAUUACUGGUCAGUUUAGUUUCCUGUAAGCCCUGGCUUGAUCUAUGGUUUCCUCAGCAGUCCUACGACAAUCGAAAUACCGGAUACUAUGCAAACGGCCCGUAUCGUCAAAGUAGAGGUGGUAAGGAGCGCUGGAAACAAAUUUGCAGGACUAUAAAUGCGGAUUCAUAUGCAUUCCCAGGACGCGUGCCUUAUCCCGCCGCACCUGUUUGUCCAUGGUAAAGGAAAUUUCCGGUCGGAUUUCCAAUCUGUCGUGCCAAACGCAAGUGAGAACGUAGCGUGCGUUAAAAAUAUGAAUUUAUUGUAACAACGUAGUUUUAGACAGUAUACGUCCACCGAUUAUGAGUAUUUCAGUCAGUAUGCAUGUACGUAUGUGUCCGUGACAAUGCUAGCAAACAUAAUGCUAGUAUACAUAUAAAUAUUCGUGAUUACAUAUAGCUACGUAUGCGUUCAUCAAGUAAAGUACGAAGCGAGGAGAUAAUUGUCCGCCAAUUGCAUCUUUUGUACGCGAACUUUAUUACUCCCCACUUCUCGGUCCGUAUUCGCACUUGUUAAAUAUAAAAACAAGAAAAAGAAACUAGGACCCAUAUCGUACUAUAAAAAAAUAGCUUUCAGAGUCCAAAAAACAAAGCUAAAGAAUACGGUCGAAAGCUGUAAAAAUGUAGUUUCUAGAUUUCUUUUUCAGACAUUUUAAGAGUGUUCUAUCAUGCAAAGUCAUUUCAUAUCAGCAUAACUUUUAUUUAUCUUUUAGUUAAAUUUUUAAUGCGCGUACGGACCCACUAAAUAUCUGCUAACUUAGAUACAGUUCAAAGACUUAUCUAUCGAUCUGUGUAACAUCGACUUUCUAAGUCAUCAUCAUCUGCCUACAAAUCAGUAAUACUCCGAGCUCUCUCUCUCUUUUUUUUCUUUUCUUACGUAUAAAAAUAAGCUAUAUACAUUAUUAUUAUAUGUUACAUUGUAAUGUAAGUUUACGCUCAAAUUUUCUAAAAAAAAAAAAUGCACGCCUUCGUAGCACAAUUGUAAUCAUAGUCUUAAAUAUCAUGUAUAUUACAUGCUUUAUAUACAGUCCAGAAUCACAGAGUUCGGUACAGCACGACGGUGUUGUGUGUACGUUGAUGCUUGUAGUUUAAAAAAGCGAUAAAGCCAUUUUAAUACAUUAUCUAAACAAAUUAUACAAUAUAAAGUUUAAUUUAAAUAGAGU
Long non-coding RNA from Trachymyrmex cornetzi, 1657 nucleotides. RefSeq lists it as uncharacterized. The record is from RefSeq and is a predicted model, not a curated record. Lineage: Eukaryota; Metazoa; Arthropoda; Insecta; Hymenoptera; Formicidae. The transcript is spliced from 3 exons.